Molecule: ribosomal RNA, 500 nt
Filed under: uncultured bacterium
Lineage: Bacteria
Description: partial 16S ribosomal RNA
Rfam family: Bacterial small subunit ribosomal RNA
Source: RNAcentral
GACGAACGCUGGCGGCGUGCUUAACACAUGCAAGUCGAACGGGUCUGCCCUGUUUUUUGCGGGGUGGGUCAGUGGCGAACGGGUGAGUAACACGUGAGUAACCUGCCCCUCACUUCUGGAUAACCGCUUGAAAGGGUGGCUAAUACGGGGUGUUCUGGCUGUGCCGCAUGGUGUGGCUGGGAAAGAUUCACUUUUGUGGUGUUUUGGUGGGGGAUGGGCUCGCGGCCUAUCAGCUUGUUGGUGGGGUGAUGGCCUGCCAAGGCUUUGACGGGUAGCCGGCCUGAGAGGGUGGGCGGUCACACUGGGACUGAGAUACGGCCCAGACUCCUGCGGGAGGCAGCAGUGGGGGGUAUUGCACAAUGGGCGGAAGCCUGAUGCAGCGACGUCGCGUGAGGGAUGGAAGCCUUCGGGUUGUGAACCUCUUUCGCCGGUGAAGAAGGUCCUGCUCUUUGUGGUGGGGUUGACGGUAGCCGGGUUAUGAAGCGCCGGCUAACUACGUG